RNAcentral lists this ribosomal RNA (441 nucleotides) under Geobacillus thermocatenulatus. RNAcentral describes it as "bacterial SSU rRNA". It matches the Rfam family "Bacterial small subunit ribosomal RNA", at positions 1014 to 1452 of the family's 1533-position model. Lineage: Bacteria; Bacillati; Bacillota; Bacilli; Caryophanales; Anoxybacillaceae. The record is from RNAcentral.
CCCCUUUGGGGGGGACAGGGUGACAGGUGGUGCAUGGUUGUCGUCAGCUCGUGUCGUGAGAUGUUGGGUUAAGUCCCGCAACGAGCGCAACCCUUGCCUCUAGUUGCCAGCAUUCAGGUGGGCACUCUAGAGGGACUGCCGGCUAAAAGUCGGAGGAAGGUGGGGAUGACGUCAAAUCAUCAUGCCCCUUAUGACCUGGGCUACACACGUGCUACAAUGGGCGGUACAAAGGGCUGCGAACCCGCGAGGGGGAGCGAAUCCCAAAAAGCCGCUCUCAGUUCGGAUUGCAGGCUGCAACUCGCCUGCAUGAAGCCGGAAUCGCUAGUAAUCGCGGAUCAGCAUGCCGCGGUGAAUACGUUCCCGGGCCUUGUACACACCGCCCGUCACACCACGAGAGCUUGCAACACCCGAAGUCGGUGAGGUAACCCGCAAGGGAGCCAG